RNAcentral lists this unclassified non-coding RNA (703 nucleotides) under Hevea brasiliensis (rubber tree). The record is from RNAcentral. Lineage: Eukaryota; Viridiplantae; Streptophyta; Magnoliopsida; Malpighiales; Euphorbiaceae.
UUUUCUUCUUCUUCUCUUCUUUUUUUCCUUUUUGUUGGGUGCUGGUCUGGAGAAGGUUUAAAAAAAAACCCUAACUUAUAUAUAUCUAGCGCCUUGACUCAUUGGGGCGCGUCUUGGUGCUCCUCGGUGCGCCUCUAUGAGGUGGUGCACCUUGACUGUCUCGAGGCGCCUGGAGCUAUGCCUAGUGCGCCUAAUGCGCCUUGCGCCUGAGGCAUGCCUUUGAUAAUAGUGUCAUUAGACUCGUUCUUAUAGAAGAUUGAACUUAUCGCAGUUACAUCCUAUGAUAAUUUCAAUUUUCUCAAAAAAUUCUUGAUAUGUGUGUUGAUCAAACAUAAAGAUACUGAAGCUUAUACCCCACAACCAUUUGUAGGUUUAUCCUGAACUGAAUGUGAUCGUUGUAUGAUGUAAUAUGGUGAAGGGGACUUCUUAGAUGCUAGUGGCUCUAAAAUUGUUGCUGAGCUAAAAAUGAAAAAGAAAAAUUAAAAACAAAGAGAUUGCAGCCCAUAAAGUUUAUAAUUUUAGUAUUUAGGCCUAAUGCCUUCCCAUUUCUAAUUAUCUUCAUAAUAGUAUGGAAAAUUGGAAAUACAGAUAUGUCAACUCAUUUUCUCUCCUUUUAUGUCAUGUUAUUUGGUCUGAUACUUUAUCGUUGACCGGCUUAUUAUGUUUGAUUGGUCUCUAUUCAAAUGGCAGGAGUUACAAGACA